RNAcentral lists this ribosomal RNA (556 nucleotides) under uncultured archaeon. Its description in RNAcentral is "bacterial SSU rRNA". It matches the Rfam family "Archaeal small subunit ribosomal RNA", at positions 202 to 761 of the family's 1478-position model. The record is from RNAcentral.
CCCAAGGAUGGGGCCGCGGCCGAUCAGGUUGUUGGUGAGGUAAUGGCCCACCAAGCCUUUAACCGGUACGGGCCGUGGGAGCGGUAGCCCGGAGAUGGGCACUGAGACAAGGGCCCAGGCCCUACGGGGCGCAGCAGUCGCGAAAACUUCGCAAUAAGCGAAAGCUUGACGGGGCCAUCCCGAGUGCCAUCUGCUGAGGAUGGCUUUUACCCAGUAUAGAUAGCUGGGAGAAUAAGGAGAGGGCAAGUCUGGUGUCAGCCGCCGCGGUAAUACCAGCUCUCCGAGUUGUAGGGAUGUUUAUUGGGCCUAAAGCAUCCGUAGCCGGCUGGACAAGUCCUCUGUUAAAUCCAGCGACCAAUCGUUGGUCUGCGGGGGAUACUGUCCGGCUAGGGGGCGGGAGAGGCCGUCGGUAUUCUUGGGGUAGGGGUGAAAUCCUAUAAUCCCAGGAGGACCACCAGUGGCGAAGGCUGUCGGCUAGAACGCGCCCGACGGUGAGGGAUGAAAGCUGGGGGAGCGAACCGGAUUAGAUACCCGGGUAGUCCCAGCUGUAAACGAU